RNAcentral lists this ribosomal RNA (1735 nucleotides) under bacterium. RNAcentral describes it as "partial 23S ribosomal RNA". It matches the Rfam family "Bacterial large subunit ribosomal RNA", at positions 1523 to 2639 of the family's 2925-position model. The record is from RNAcentral.
GUCCUCUUGGCAAAUCCGGAGGGCUGCCUUCAAUGGCGCGUCUCAAUCGAUGGAAAAAUUUCGCCCUCGGGCGAGAAAUUCCAAAGAGCAUCCUUCCCAGAAAAACCUCUCGAGCCAAUGCAGUCGAGUCCGUACCGCAAAACCGACACAGGUCGGCCGGUGUAAGAGCACCAAGGCGAACGGGUGAGUCCUCCCCAAGGAACUCGGCAAAAAAGCGGCCGUAAGUUCGCAAUAAGGCCUGCCCUCGCGCAAGCGGGGGCCGCAGCUAAAGAUUGCUUACCGACUGUUUAUCAAAAACACAGGUCCCUGCAGAACCCGUAAGGGGACGUAUAGGGGCUGACGCCUGACCAGUGCCCGAAUGUUAAGCCUGCGAGUCGUGCUGCACUUGUGUGGUACGGCCCUGUGGGUGAAGCACGGGUGAACGUCCGCGGUAACUAUAACCGUGUUAAAGUAGCGCAAUCUCUUGCCAGGUAAACAUUUGCCUGUUCUCUCUGGCGACAGAGAGAAAAGAAACUGACUUAUAACGGUGGAAUCGUAAGUCAUUUUGUGGUAUAAUAACCAUAAUACGGCUCGACAAUACCGUGGGAACUCGCUCAUUGCGAGACCCGUAACGACUCAGCCCCUCUAGGGCGGAUGAUUGUGUGAAACCGAUCAUCAUACGUCAGUCUCUUUGUUGUAGCUAAACUAUGCGUAGUAUUGCAGAGUAUAUAUCAGGAUUCGUUGAUGGAGAGGGAUCAUUUAUGAUCUGUUUCUCUCCUCGUAGUAAGAUGCUUGUUGGGUGGGAAGUUCGGCCAAGUUUUUCUGUAAGCCAAAAUAGAGAUAAGGCCGAAGUGCUUUAUCUGAUGAAAGAAUAUUUUGGUUGCGGAACAAUAAGGUCAAACGGAAAAGACCGAACGCUAAAAUAUGAAGUGAGGAGUUUGAACGACAUUCUUCAGAAAAUUAUUCCGCACUUCAAGAAGUAUCCGCUCUUGUCAGCGAGGCGCAAGGAAUUCGAUAUUUUCGUGAGCGUUUGUCAAAAGAUGAAAGACAGCGAACAUCUGACCGAAAGCGGACUCAAAGCGAUUACUGAAUUGGUAAGUAAGAUGCAAUUCUCGCAUAGCAGAAAAUAUAGUUUAAGCGAUUUCAGCUCAGCAAAGAUGAAGAUAUAGUCUGUGCCUUAAGAAAUUAAGGAAUAACAUGAAGUUCUGGCCCGCAUGAAAGGCGUAACGAGUGAGCAACUGUCUCGGGGAGGAGCCCGGUGAAAAUGCAGUGCCGGUGAAGAUGCCGGGUACCUGCAACAAGACAAGAAGACCCCGGGAGCUUCACUGUAAGCUCUUAUUGGAAUUACGUUUUGAACUGCGUAGCAUAGCGGGGAGGCUUUGAAGUCAGUCUUCCGGGACGGAUGGAGCCGCCAGUGAAAUACCCGUCUUUCAACAUGUAAUUUCUAACCCCCGCGUAAGCGGAGGGACAGUAGGAGCCGGGCAGUUUAAGUGGGGCGCUUUUCUCCUAAAAGGUAACGGAGAAGUUCAUCAAGGUCGGCUUAGCGCGGAUGGAAAUCGCGCUGGACCCGUAAAGGGACAUGCCGGCUUGACUCCAAGGCGGACAUGCCGCGGAGGUGCGAAAGCAAGACUUAGUGAACCGACCAUACUUCGUAGGAAGGUGGGAGAUCAACGGAUAAAAGCUACCCCGGGGAUGAGCCCUGAAAAAAGGGCCGUUGUCCCCUCUACCAGUAAUGGUAGAAUAAAAACGUGGCUAA